Molecule: ribosomal RNA, 449 nt
Filed under: Chryseobacterium indoltheticum
Lineage: Bacteria; Pseudomonadati; Bacteroidota; Flavobacteriia; Flavobacteriales; Weeksellaceae
Description: bacterial SSU rRNA
Rfam family: Bacterial small subunit ribosomal RNA
Source: RNAcentral
AAGAUCUUCGGAUCUUUGAGAGCGGCGUACGGGUGCGGAACACGUGUGCAACCUGCCUUUAUCAGGGGGAUAGCCUUUCGAAAGGAAGAUUAAUACCCCAUAAUAUAWUGARUGGCAUCAYUUAWUAUUGAAAACUCCGGUGGAUAGAGAUGGGCACGCGCAAGAUUAGAUAGUUGGUAGGGUAACGGCCUACCAAGUCAGUGAUCUUUAGGGGGCCUGAGAGGGUGAUCCCCCACACUGGUACUGAGACACGGACCAGACUCCUACGGGAGGCAGCAGUGAGGAAUAUUGGACAAUGGGUGAGAGCCUGAUCCAGCCAUCCCGCGUGAAGGACGACGGCCCUAUGGGUUGUAAACUUCUUUUGUAUAGGGAUAAACCUUUCCACGUGUGGAAAGCUGAAGGUACUAUACGAAUAAGCACCGGCUAACUCCGUGCCAGCAGCCGCGGUG